GACGAACGCUGGCGGCGUGCCUAGUACAUGCAAGUAGAACGCUGAAGGAGGAGCUUGCUCUUCUGGAUGAGUUGCGAACGGGUGAGUAACGCGUAGGUAACCUGCCUGGUAGCGGGGGAUAACUAUUGGAAACGAUAGCUAAUACCGCAUAACAGUAGAUGCUGCAUGACAUUUGCUUAAAAGGUGCAAUUGCAUCACUACCAGAUGGACCUGCGUUGUAUUAGCUAGUUGGGGGGGUAACGGCUCACCAAGGCGACGAUACAUAGCCGACCUGAGAGGGUGGUCGGCCACCAUGGGACUGAGACACGGCCCAGACUCCUACGGGAGGCAGCAGUAGGGAAUCUUCGGCAAUGGACGGAAGGCUGACCGAGCAACGCCGCGUGAGUGAAGAAGGUUUUCGGAUCGUAAAGCUCUGUUGUAAGAGAAGAACGAGUGUGAGGGUGGAAAGUUCACGCUGUGACGGUAUCUGACCAGAAAGGGACGGCUAACUACGUG
This 495-nucleotide ribosomal RNA is filed under the name uncultured bacterium. Its description in RNAcentral is "partial 16S ribosomal RNA". It matches the Rfam family "Bacterial small subunit ribosomal RNA", at positions 28 to 507 of the family's 1533-position model. The record is from RNAcentral.